GAUACCUAGAAUGAUGAACUAGCAUGGUAGUUGGAUUUGGUUUGCACGAAAUGAAAGUAGAAAAAGAAGGCCUAGCUGCUACAGAAUAGCUUGACUAACAAUUUGCAAGCCAGAAAUCCUUGUGAAAGUUAAUCGAGGCAAGUCUCCAUAGAAGAAGGAGAAGGUAAAGCGCAAGAGCUCGGUGUCAUGUUUAUCAAAACAAGCGCAAAAGCUGGCUUCAAUAUAAAGGCUCUCUUGCGAAAGAUUACGGCUGCCUUGCCCGGGAUGGAAACCUUUCUCCUCCAUGUUGCUUAGAUUUAUGAGGUUUAAGAAUGAAGGAAGAAUCUUUUAUUUUGUUCUUUUGAAAAUUUAUUAUGUCAAUAUAAGUAGAAUCUUUUUGAGUUUAUGAGGUUAUCUGUUUAAAUAAAAAUCUUCUCUUCCUAUUUCAUUUUGUUCUUUUGAAAAUUUAUUAUGUCAAUAUAAGUAGAAUCUUUUUUGA
This is a long non-coding RNA of Zingiber officinale, 478 nucleotides long. RefSeq lists it as uncharacterized. The record is from RefSeq and is a predicted model, not a curated record. NCBI's taxonomy places the organism in Eukaryota, Viridiplantae, Streptophyta, Magnoliopsida, Zingiberales, Zingiberaceae. The transcript is spliced from 3 exons.